Bactrocera tryoni is the source of this 752-nucleotide long non-coding RNA. RefSeq lists it as uncharacterized. The transcript has 3 exons. NCBI's taxonomy places the organism in Eukaryota, Metazoa, Arthropoda, Insecta, Diptera, Tephritidae. The record is from RefSeq and is a predicted model, not a curated record.
AGCAACUAAAACAACGAAAAUAUGAAAACAUACCCUGGAAGACGGACGACACAGAUUGCACAAACACAUUGAAACAUUUCCAGCUGUUCACCAACACUGUUACAUUUUGUGCAAUUUUCAAUUGAAUGGGAGAACGCGUAAGAAAGAAAAGGAAAACUAUCGUUUUUCAGCUUAAAGAAACAUCAAUAUGUUAAAAGAGAAAAGGCGAUACACAAUUUUUCAAGAAAAAGAAUUAAUAAAAGAAGCUGGAAAAUGCGCAAUAGUUUGGUUAAUUUUGGCGUUUAAACAAAUUAACAAGCCGAAAAACAAUUAUUGAAGUAAGUUUACAAAAACGACUGGGCAUUGGUGGCCGUGAUAUCACACGAAAUCUGUUUAAACUACUUGCUGGUUAUACACUGCCUUUGAAACUGCAUAAUGAAGGAAAAGUUUUGCCAUAUCACCUAUGACAUCGAUAUGGAACAGUGAGCAGCGUUGGAAACCACUGUGCUUGAAACCAAUAGCUGUCAACUAACGAAUUUUACUAAUAUAAUAGGGGAAUUCUCUUGUACGAUGACACAAAAUGCAAAAAUCCUAUACCGAAAUAUGCAAAGCCAAGAGAGCACCCAUUGCAGAAUCCAGUGAUAUAUGAACGGCUGAUUCGGUCAAUUUAUUGAUGAAUUGGCGCACAUUCUGUAUUCAUUCUUAAGAAAAAACUGAAACAAUUUUUUUUAAUUUAAGUAGAAUUUAUAAAACCUAUUAAAACUUAUCAUCCU